This 262-nucleotide long non-coding RNA is filed under the name Brassica rapa (field mustard). Its description in RNAcentral is "long non-coding RNA (BRAP_LNC006527)". The record is from RNAcentral. Lineage: Eukaryota; Viridiplantae; Streptophyta; Magnoliopsida; Brassicales; Brassicaceae.
UUAUAUAGAUUUUUCUAAGAAAUAUGCUUAGCUAUAUAGAUUGCAACAAGAAAUCUAGACUUCCUGAAUGUCAGAAUAAAUAAAAAGGCAAUCCAAGUCCAACAUCGGAUAUUAGACAUAAUAAAGUCUAAUAUAUAUAGCUGGUCCAAUUCCACUUAGUAUGAGGCCUUUUGGGAGUAACGACCCAAGAACAAAUCCGUGAGGGCUUAGGCCCAAAGCGGACAAUAUCAUACUAAGCGAGGGGUUGGACAUCUGGUGUCGG